AUGCCCCCUCCAGGUGCCAGCCUUCGUGAGGUACAUCCACCAGUGGCUCACGUCCAGUGUGUCUCCUGAGCACAGACUAGACAAGACUCUUCUGGAUCUGGCCGAGGCACACCCCGUGGAUGUGGUGGUGACUGUGCUGCGCUCUGCCCCAUCAUGUGACAGAGCUGCAGCGACCUUGUGGAGGACGAUCAUCUUUUCAAGUCGGACUGCACAGUCGGUGCUCGAGAUACUUGCCCUUGUCCUGGGAAGCUGGCCAGCCUGCAGCAUGUGCACCUCUGAUGGGGUUUCUGAGUUUCUGGAACUGGACUUUGCUCACUCCCACAUCGCCUCCAGGGCAGCUGUUCAUCCUCCCCCUGCACUGCAUCUCCCUGCCUCAGGCACUGGGCUGGAAACCUGGGUUAGGGGCAGGUUCAGGGGCACCAGGCCAGGUGCUCCUCCUGUGUCUCCCCUGGCCUCUCCCUCCCGUGCUCGGGCCUUGCCACGUGGAUGUCUCAGCACUGAGCACUGUCUCCAGCUGUUUUACUUUUUUGCAGGCAAACGUGGCGCUGUGGACGAUCCUCCAGCUGCCCUGGUGCCCACGUACAGUGAGGGAGUGUUUCCCCAACCUCUUUGUGCAUCUGCUCUUUCAGAUGUUCUUCAACACAGUGCAUAGGCUGGAGGAGGAUGACACCUUCUGGAGGGAAUGCCAGGACCAACACAGCCUUCCCACCAACCCCAACAGGUUUGCAGUGCUGACCAUCAAAGCCCUGCUGUGCCAUCUGCAGUGUGAGGGUGUGGUGAUGGCACUGGAAUGCAAGUGUGGCUGGGACACGCUGCUCAACGCUGACACCCAACACUAUGCAGUGGGUCUGCUGGCCAGGUGAGACCCCCUUGUCCCCACUGCCCCUGUCAUUUCUGCCUGUGCAUGGGGCACCACACACAGUGCCUGUGGUCGUGGGCGAGAGGGCCUUGUCACCGAGGGAUGGCUGAGAGUGAAAAAGGCUGGGAGAGGGAGAUGGGUUCUGCCUGCACAGUCUGGUGUUGCAGCAUCGUCUGCUGCCUCCUGGAGCUGCUCAGCGAGGAGAUGUGUCCCUGGGAGCUCCCUGCCAUGGUGUUCCUUGUGGAGGCCAAAAGAAUGUGCAGCCUGACUGAAAGCCUCGUGCAGCUCCUGUGGGAUGCAGAUGGAGAGCUGGUCAGGAUGACUGCCACUGUCCUUGAAUUUCUGUCCUUGGAGAAAGACAUCUGACACCAGCCCUACAGCUGGCUGAGGUGCUCCAGCCAUUCUUUGACAACCCCUUGGAGGUAUGAAGAAUGACAUCAGCCCCGCUAUCUCAAACCUGGCGUUUCAAACCUGCUCUGCGGAGCAGUUUCUGUGCUGCCAGAGCUCUGUGGAGAGUUGAUUUGGGAAGCUGUGUGUGCUGGGGCCAUGUGAGCCUGCGAGGAAGACCCCUUCUCUGCAAGCACUUUCCUUUACCCCAGCAUGGGAAUAUAAAAUUCCUUUUGUCACAGACAGAGGCCCAGGAGGGUUUUUUGGUGCCCAGUUUCCACAGGGGAUUGGGGAAGAGGGGGAAAAGGGUCCUUGUGCUCAGCAACACUUGGCCAGGUGUGCAGCGAGAAGAAAAAGUGCCCUAAGUCCUCUUGGCCUUUGGUGGUUCUGCUGAAGCCUCAAAGUUUCCAUGGAGCAGUUUGCUGGAUGUGUUUUCCUAUGUGAGAAGUAGAUGGAUCUUUUGGACUCUGCAAGACUGAAAGUGCAUCACGCUACCUACAGCAGAGGUUGAAAGUGCCGUGUACCAUGGUGGUGUGUGCAGUUCUCAGGCUGCAAGGAAAAGUAACUCCCACUUGACUGUGAUGCAAAUACAAGUUUUCAAAUGGAAGGGAAGGUCGGUGAAAUUCUUCUGUUCUGGCACAUUUUCUUUGGCAGCGGGGGAGGACGUUUUCAACUUUGGAUCUUCACAUUUGGAUAACCCCGGUACAUUUACGUCUUUUUCAAGGACACGCCGACGUUCCCACUGUCGCUGUUCAACAGCUCCACGAGGUGGCGGUGUGUACAUAACAAACAACCCAAAAUGCAGCUCCGAAGGUGAAAACGUCCUGUCACAAUUCUCAAACGAAACGUGUCAGGACAGAAAAGGUACCAGGACAAAAAGCUCUGGAGCUUGGCUUUUCCAUUCCCACUGGAGCAACAGCAGUUCAAACGAUAGCACUGUAUACUAGGAAAAGCAAAUAAAUUCACCAA
This is an RNA transcript of Lepidothrix coronata (blue-crowned manakin), 2215 nucleotides long. RefSeq lists it as uncharacterized. The record is from RefSeq and is a predicted model, not a curated record. Lineage: Eukaryota; Metazoa; Chordata; Aves; Passeriformes; Pipridae. The transcript is spliced from 6 exons.